UAUGUAUUGGUUAGUGGUGAUAUUUGUGAUGGUAUGUGGUGAUGUAUGUGAUAUAAUGUGUUGAUGUGUGUGAUGGUGUGUGGUAAUGUGCGUGCAAUGUGUACUAUUAGAAAGACAAGCAUGUCCAUUUGUGAGUGAAUGAUUGAAUGCUGAUCAUUUGUUUUUCCUCAAUGUUUCCUGUAUCUUUUAAUACUUAAAUAUUUAUAUUGUGACUUGAAUGAUGCUGUUGAUUUCAGGCCAUACCUUGCGUCCAUCUUUACAGCAUUGAAAUGUGCUGAUAGUGACUACUCAGCAUUAUUUUCCUUGUGUCUGCUGUAUGCUAUAGGAUGUAAUCAAGGAAUUAAGCGAUCCCUUUUGGAGGGUGUCUGUUUGACAAGUCAGUCUAAAAAUAAACAAUAUUAUAAUAUGAUGUUGAUAGAGAAAUUGAUAACUGUGAUGAGUCAGGCUUGUCAGUAUAGCAAUACUAAGAUUCGACCUGUUACCUUAGAGAUGGCAACACUACUACUGGAACAAUUGGUUUGCUCAGAUGAACAGUGUUACUUGCAGGACAUGCAUCUUGCUUGUAUAGAGGUCAGU
This is a long non-coding RNA of Anneissia japonica, 576 nucleotides long. RefSeq lists it as uncharacterized. NCBI's taxonomy places the organism in Eukaryota, Metazoa, Echinodermata, Crinoidea, Comatulida, Comatulidae. The record is from RefSeq and is a predicted model, not a curated record. The transcript is spliced from 3 exons.